GUUAAGCGACUAAGCGUACACGGUGGAUGCCCUGGCAGUCAGAGGCGAUGAAGGACGUGCUAAUCUGCGAUAAGCGUCGGUGAGGUGAUAUGAACCGUUAUAACCGGCGAUUUCCGAAUGGGGAAACCCAGUGUGUUUCGACACACUAUCAUUAACUGAAUCCAUAGGUUAAUGAGGCGAACCGGGGGAACUGAAACAUCUAAGUACCCCGAGGAAAAGAAAUCAACCGAGAUUCCCCCAGUAGCGGCGAGCGAACGGGGAGGAGCCCAGAGCCUGAAUCAGUGUGUGUGUUAGUGGAAGCGUCUGGAAAGGCGUGCGAUACAGGGUGACAGCCCCGUACACAAAAAUGCACAUACUGUGAGCUCGAUGAGUAGGGCGGGACACGUGGUAUCCUGUCUGAAUAUGGGGGGACCAUCCUCCAAGGCUAAAUACUCCUGACUGACCGAUAGUGAACCAGUACCGUGAGGGAAAGGCGAAAAGAACCCCGGCGAGGGGAGUGAAAAAGAACCUGAAACCGUGUACGUACAAGCAGUGGGAGCCUCUUAAUGGGGUGACUGCGUACCUUUUGUAUAAUGGGUCAGCGACUUAUAUUCUGUAGCAAGGUUAACCGAAUAGGGGAGCCGAAGGGAAACCGAGUCUUAACUGGGCGUUAAGUUGCAGGGUAUAGACCCGAAACCCGGUGAUCUAGCCAUGGGCAGGUUGAAGGUUGGGUAACACUAACUGGAGGACCGAACCGACUAAUGUUGAAAAAUUAGCGGAUGACUUGUGGCUGGGGGUGAAAGGCCAAUCAAACCGGGAGAUAGCUGGUUCUCCCCGAAAGCUAUUUAGGUAGCGCCUCGUGAAUUCAUCUCCGGGGGUAGAGCACUGUUUCGGCAAGGGGGUCAUCCCGACUUACCAACCCGAUGCAAACUGCGAAUACCGGAGAAUGUUAUCACGGGAGACACACGGCGGGUGCUAACGUCCGUCGUGAAGAGGGAAACAACCCAGACCGCCAGCUAAGGUCCCAAAGUCAUGGUUAAGUGGGAAACGAUGUGGGAAGGCCCAGACAGCCAGGAUGUUGGCUUAGAAGCAGCCAUCAUUUAAAGAAAGCGUAAUAGCUCACUGGUCGAGUCGGCCUGCGCGGAAGAUGUAACGGGGCUAAACCAUGCACCGAAGCUGCGGCAGCGACGCUUAUGCGUUGUUGGGUAGGGGAGCGUUCUGUAAGCCUGUGAAGGUGUGCUGUGAGGCAUGCUGGAGGUAUCAGAAGUGCGAAUGCUGACAUAAGUAACGAUAAAGCGGGUGAAAAGCCCGCUCGCCGGAAGACCAAGGGUUCCUGUCCAACGUUAAUCGGGGCAGGGUGAGUCGACCCCUAAGGCGAGGCCGAAAGGCGUAGUCGAUGGGAAACAGGUUAAUAUUCCUGUACUUGGUGUUACUGCGAAGGGGGGACGGAGAAGGCUAUGUUGGCCGGGCGACGGUUGUCCCGGUUUAAGCGUGUAGGCUGGUUUUCCAGGCAAAUCCGGAAAACCAAGGCUGAGGCGUGAUGACGAGGCACUACGGUGCUGAAGCGACAAAUGCCCUGCUUCCAGGAAAAGCCUCUAAGCAUCAGGUAACAUCAAAUCGUACCCCAAACCGACACAGGUGGUCAGGUAGAGAAUACCAAGGCGCUUGAGAGAACUCGGGUGAAGGAACUAGGCAAAAUGGUGCCGUAACUUCGGGAGAAGGCACGCUGAUAUGUAGGUGAAGCGACUUGCUCGUGGAGCUGAAAUCAGUCGAAGAUACCAGCUGGCUGCAACUGUUUAUUAAAAACACAGCACUGUGCAAACACGAAAGUGGACGUAUACGGUGUGACGCCUGCCCGGUGCCGGAAGGUUAAUUGAUGGGGUUAGCGGUAACGCGAAGCUCUUGAUCGAAGCCCCGGUAAACGGCGGCCGUAACUAUAACGGUCCUAAGGUAGCGAAAUUCCUUGUCGGGUAAGUUCCGACCUGCACGAAUGGCGUAAUGAUGGCCAGGCUGUCUCCACCCGAGACUCAGUGAAAUUGAACUCGCUGUGAAGAUGCAGUGUACCCGCGGCAAGACGGAAAGACCCCGUGAACCUUUACUAUAGCUUGACACUGAACAUUGAGCCUUGAUGUGUAGGAUAGGUGGGAGGCUUUGAAGUGUGGACGCCAGUCUGCAUGGAGCCGACCUUGAAAUACCACCCUUUAAUGUUUGAUGUUCUAACGUUGGCCCGUAAUCCGGGUUGCGGACAGUGUCUGGUGGGUAGUUUGACUGGGGCGGUCUCCUCCUAAAGAGUAACGGAGGAGCACGAAGGUUGGCUAAUCCUGGUCGGACAUCAGGAGGUUAGUGCAAUGGCAUAAGCCAGCUUGACUGCGAGCGUGACGGCGCGAGCAGGUGCGAAAGCAGGUCAUAGUGAUCCGGUGGUUCUGAAUGGAAGGGCCAUCGCUCAACGGAUAAAAGGUACUCCGGGGAUAACAGGCUGAUACCGCCCAAGAGUUCAUAUCGACGGCGGUGUUUGGCACCUCGAUGUCGGCUCAUCACAUCCUGGGGCUGAAGUAGGUCCCAAGGGUAUGGCUGUUCGCCAUUUAAAGUGGUACGCGAGCUGGGUUUAGAACGUCGUGAGACAGUUCGGUCCCUAUCUGCCGUGGGCGCUGGAGAACUGAGGGGGGCUGCUCCUAGUACGAGAGGACCGGAGUGGACGCAUCACUGGUGUUCGGGUUGUCAUGCCAAUGGCACUGCCCGGUAGCUAAAUGCGGAAGAGAUAAGUGCUGAAAGCAUCUAAGCACGAAACUUGCCCCGAGAUGAGUUCUCCCUGAGACUUAGAGUCUCCUGAAGGAACGUUGAAGACGACGACGUUGAUAGGCCGGGUGUGUAAGCGCAGCGAUGCGUUGAGCUAACCGGUACUAAUGAACCGUGAGGCUUAACCUUACAACGCCGAAG
This 2916-nucleotide ribosomal RNA is filed under the name Escherichia coli. RNAcentral's name for it is "partial 23S ribosomal RNA". It matches the Rfam family "Bacterial large subunit ribosomal RNA". The record is from RNAcentral. Lineage: Bacteria; Pseudomonadati; Pseudomonadota; Gammaproteobacteria; Enterobacterales; Enterobacteriaceae.